UUCGCAAGAAGGGGGCCCUAACGCGUUAUGGCGAGGGCGCAGAGAAAAGGCUCUGGGGACUGUUUAUCAAAAACACAGGUCUGUGCAAACACGCAAGUGGACGUAUACAGACUGACGCCUGCCCAAUGCCGGAACGUUAAGGAAGCAGGUUAGCUUCGGCGAAGCUUGCGACCGAAGCGCCGGUCAAUGGCGGCCGUAACUAU
Molecule: ribosomal RNA, 203 nt
Filed under: Moneuplotes crassus
Lineage: Eukaryota; Ciliophora; Spirotrichea; Euplotida; Euplotidae
Description: partial Bacterial large subunit ribosomal RNA
Rfam family: Bacterial large subunit ribosomal RNA
Source: RNAcentral